Molecule: ribosomal RNA, 451 nt
Filed under: uncultured Novosphingobium sp.
Lineage: Bacteria; Pseudomonadati; Pseudomonadota; Alphaproteobacteria; Sphingomonadales; Sphingomonadaceae
Description: partial 16S ribosomal RNA
Source: RNAcentral
CACGGAGUUAGCCGGAGCUUAUUCUCCAGGUACUGUCAUUAUCAUCCCUGGUAAAAGAGCUUUACAACCCUAAGGCCUUCAUCACUCACGCGGCAUUGCUGGAUCAGGCUUUCGCCCAUUGUCCAACUAUUCCCACUGCUGCCUCCCGUAGAGUCUGGGCCGUGUCUCAGUCCCAGUGUGGCUGAUCAUCCUCUCAGACCAGCUAAGGAUCGUCGGCUUGGUAGGCCUUUACCCCACCAACUACCUAAUCCUACGCGGGCUCAUCCUUUGCCGAUAAAUCUUUGGUCUUACGACAUCAUCCGGUAUUAGCAGUCAUUUCUAACUGUUAUUCCGAAGCAAAGGGCAGAUUCCCACGCGUUACGCACCCGUGCGCCACUAGACCCGAAGGUCUCGUUCGACUUGCAUGUGUUAGGCAUGCCGCCAGCGUUCGUUCUGAGCCAGGAUCAAACUC